RNAcentral lists this long non-coding RNA (459 nucleotides) under Mytilus galloprovincialis (Mediterranean mussel). The record is from RNAcentral. Lineage: Eukaryota; Metazoa; Mollusca; Bivalvia; Mytilida; Mytilidae.
AUUUUUAUAGAACUUCUGUUGUGCUUAAAUUCUAUAUAUAAUUCUGUACUGAGUUGUUGAGAAUGUCUUAUAAAAAAUAAAAUAACAAUAUAUGUCAAUAUAUGUGUAUUCUCUGAAUUAUAUUUUGUAGCGAUUAUAAUAUACUAAUUGAACUUUCAUAAUUAUUGAAAUGUGAAAUAAAAACUGGCUACCACAGCAAAUACAACAGUAGAGGAAAAGACGUACAAUCUAUUUUAGUCCCAUUUAAUAAAAAAGAGUGAAACGACUUUUUAAACACUUUUUUUUGUUAUAAUCGAUGUUAUUUACAAGCUUUGUAUGUAUUUUUUUAUGUUGCAAUGUCUCUUAUUACUUUAUCUGGUUAGUUAUUCAUAUUAAAAUAAUAAAACUUUUUAUCAUACGUUUAAUAUAUGUAUUAUUCGGAUUAGAUAUAGAUGAGAAUAAAAUGAUUUACUAUUAUAU